Molecule: small nuclear RNA, 339 nt
Filed under: Erinaceus europaeus (western European hedgehog)
Lineage: Eukaryota; Metazoa; Chordata; Mammalia; Eulipotyphla; Erinaceidae
Description: 7SK RNA (ENSEEUG00000016275.1)
Rfam family: 7SK RNA
About the family: 7SK was discovered as an abundant small nuclear RNA in the mid-70s but a possible function has only recently been suggested. Two independent studies have found that 7SK RNA binds the CDK9/cyclin T complex (known as elongation factor P-TEFb). P-TEFb activates transcription by phosphorylating the C-terminal domain of RNA polymerase II.
Source: RNAcentral
GGAUGUGAGGGCGAUCUGGCUGCGACACCUGUCACCCCACUGGUCGCCAGGGUUGAUCCGGCUGAUCUGGCUGGCUGGGCGGGUGUCCCCUUCCUCCCUCACGGCUUCAUGUGCGUCCCUCCCAAAGCUGUGCGCGCUCGGUUGAAGAGGACGGCCUUCCCCGAAUAGAGACGGGCGGGUUUUUGGUGGGUGUAUGAGUAGCUGCGCUCCCCUGCUAGACCCUCCAAACAGGCUCUCAAAAUUCUCUAUGGGGAGCAAAAGGUGGGGAGUUCUGGCUUCUGUCGUUACUUCUACCGCUGGACAUGGGUGUUGGUAGGUGGACCCACACACCCAGCCUGU